GUAAAGUGACUGAUUUAAAGUGAUAAAUUGUAAAUUUAUUUAUGAGAUUUUCUCCUUUGCUA
RNAcentral lists this transfer RNA (62 nucleotides) under Eucnemidae sp. 4 ACP-2013. RNAcentral describes it as "tRNA-Tyr". The record is from RNAcentral. Lineage: Eukaryota; Metazoa; Arthropoda; Insecta; Coleoptera; Eucnemidae.